Eurytemora carolleeae is the source of this 2984-nucleotide RNA transcript. RefSeq lists it as uncharacterized. NCBI's taxonomy places the organism in Eukaryota, Metazoa, Arthropoda, Copepoda, Calanoida, Temoridae. The record is from RefSeq and is a predicted model, not a curated record. The transcript has 17 exons.
AUAAAAAUUGUAACUUUCCUUAAAAGAAAAAAACUCGGCAUUUUUUUUGAUAAACUUCACUUUGGUCUUAAUUUUACAUAAAUGAAUUUGCACAUUGCACAACCUUAUAGGCAUGCAUUUUUAAAUAUGUAAGUUAUAGCCAACAAACCAGACAUAUUGAUAUCCCGCCAAGGUGCCAUUUUCUUAAUUUGGGAUUCAAUCUCCUACGAGCUUAUAUAUUUUACAACAUUAUUUCUGUCUGAAUUUUCACGAAACUUAAUUUAUUGAUUAGUUUUAUUAUUUAUAUAAAGUAAAAAUCCUGCAAUGAUUUUAUUAUUAAUUACUGUAAAUAAAACCUUGUUUGUUUAGUUAGAAAAUGAAAUUGUAAUAGCUUUACUGUUGAUAGAUGUAACAUUUAAAAAUGUCAUUUUUUAAGUUACAUUUUUUCUUUGUCUUGCUUUCAUUCUUUGUGUAUUGUAACAAUAUGUUUUUUUGCUUUGUUAAAGCAAUCCGUAUUUUGCAGAGCAAUGGCCUCGAACUGGGGCUAUCCCAUUAAACAGGUUGAAGUCAAGCUAAUUAACAUCGCAAAACACAGGGCAAUUGGAUCAGGAGUAAAAAAAUUGAUUGAGUCGAAUGUAAUUAUAAGAAGAAGGCUUAUGUUUAGACCAUUAAAUAAAACGGAGUUAAACCCUUUAUAUGAUGCGGACAGUGACAAUAGUGUAGAACAGAUUUCCGGAAGUGAAGAACCGGUUUCUCCAGAUAACUCGGAAACAAGAACCAAAAGUAAUGCGCCAGUUUCUCUAGAUAACCCGGAAACAAGAACCGGAAGUAAUGCGCCAGUUUCUCUAGAUAACCCGGAAACAAGAUUAGGAUCAGCCAAAUAUGAUGACACAUAUAGUUCGUGCAGUGAUUCGGAAAUAAUGGAGAUAUUUCAACGAAGUAAUGAGGAGAGGAAAAAAAGGAGGAAAGUAUGGGAGGAAAGGAAAAAGAUUAAAAAGAGGAAAUAUGAAGAAAUUCAAAUAUCAGAUUCUGAAUCCGACUGCGAGGUUUUAGCUAAAUCAAACCUGUCGAUAUCUCCUCCAUGCUCAAACUCUAGUCGACGAUCAUCCUCCUCUCUCCAGGUUCUCGAGGAUAGAGUCUCUGCCUCCAAACCUAAUGAGCGAUCCUCCUCUCUCCAGGUUCUCGAGGAUAGAGUCUCGGCCUCCAAACCUGAUGAGCAAUCCUCCUCUCCCCAGGUUCUCAAAUAUAGAAGUUCGGUCUCAAAACCUGUUAACCAAUCCUCUUUCUCUCUCCAGGUUCUCGAGGAUAGAGUCUUAGCCUCAAAAUCUGAGCAGCAGGAUUGUUUGAACUUGAUGUCUCGCAAGUUCUCCAAUUUACCGGUAAAUCGAAAGCAUAGAUCCCAACCUAGCUCCAGCUCUCAAACUAACUCAAAACAAAUGAUGUUUACUAAAAAGAAUCUCGACCAUACUUUCGAUACUGAUACUGGUGAUGAGGAGGAGUUUCAAAGAAAAGAAUUCGAAAGGAACUCGGCUUUUAAACUUAAAAAGCUUCGCAUAGAUAUCAAGGAGGAGCAUCCAUUUUUACGAAGUAUGAAACCAUCCCGAGUACAUUUAAAAUCAUCCAGAGCAAAUAUAAGACGACUUUUCUACACUCAGAAGAAGAAUCUUGAUGAACCAAUUGUAUUUAGAAGUUUAUUUUCUCUAGGACUGGUGUGCCCUCACUGUGAUCUAAGAUUAGAGACGAAUGAGAGUCUCAAGUUUGCGGAGCAUGUACAAUACUGUAAAUAUUUAUCAACGCACGAUACAAUUGAUGAUGAUGUUCUGAUAAUGUCUCAUGAGAUCGAUGUUGAUGUACGGAUCGAAGAAGUUGAGAUUCCGGAGGAAACUAGGACUUGCCCCAAAUGUAAUGAGGAGGUGCCUAUAAGUAUGGUUGAUUCUCAUGCUUGGUUCCAUCGACCCUAUCCCUGCUCUGUCUGCUUCCAUAGAUAUAUUAAGAAGACGGAUACUGAAGAUCACAUAAUCAACGAUCAUGCGACGCACUUCAUGUCCAAUCUGAUCCCGUUCUGGAGAUCUGAAGAAGCAUUGAAGGUUGGACCAGGUUUGCCGCAGGUACCAGUUCCUCCCACCAGUAAUCCUGGAAUUCCACAGGGUGCUGUCCAGGCACUAAUUCGUGAGGCGGAUGGUAGCAGCAAGACAAUUUACAUUGCUCAGAUACCACCUGGGACUAUUCUACCAGGAAACCCAACUCAGAUAGUCAUUAACAACCAUAACUAUCAGAUAUUGAAUACUGUUGGUGGGCAUCAGAGUUUAGGAACUCCAAUGCCUUGUAUGCCUCUGCCUCAGCAACCCCUACCUAGAGAGAACCUUAUCCGGGGUUCAUCAAAUCAUCGUCUUCCUUUAAACACGCCGCAGCAGUAUAUUCAACCACGGAACCAUCAACCCCUACCGAGGCCUAGUUUCUCUCCCCGGAACUGUAUUCUACCCAAAUCUAGACCAGUUCUUCCAUGGAGAUUCCCUACUGGAGCUGCAACCCAGUUCCGACCUAGAUCCUUCAACCCAAUGAUCCGGUCUAGGAGACCAACUAUGUUCAUACCAUCAAUGCAAGGAAUGAAGCUUGAUGAAGAUGGAGCUCCAAUACAAGAGUCAGAUCCUUUAUCCUUUGAUGAAACUCAGCAAGAGGACCCGCUAGCCAUUUAAUCAUAUUUUAGUGUUUGUAAUUAGCAUUUUUUAAUACUUCUUCAUUUGAAUAGAUUACGUGGUAGAAAUCGUACAGGAAACAGUAAGAAAAUACUUGAAAUAAGCAACAAAUAAUAAUGUGGAAGUAGCAUAUCAAAUACUUACCUUUUCGUUUCUCAAAAUAAAUAAACUUGUAAUAAUUUCGUUACACCAAAAAUUAGCUUCCAAUCUUUUGGAUGCUGUGGAAAACAAACUAAACUUUAACGGUAUUUCAAAUUGUCUAAAUGGACUAUCAAGUUAUUAACGCAUUGUUCUCAGUUCAUAAUUAUC